Molecule: ribosomal RNA, 408 nt
Filed under: uncultured bacterium
Lineage: Bacteria
Description: partial 16S ribosomal RNA
Rfam family: Bacterial small subunit ribosomal RNA
Source: RNAcentral
GACGAGCGCUGGCGGCGUGCUUAACACAUGCAAGUCGAACGAAGUGGCGAACGGGUGAGUAAUACGUGAGUAACCUGCCCUCCUUUUUGGGAUAAGCCUUGGAAACGGGGUCUAAUACCGAAUAAAGGGGGAUGGGCUCGCGGCCUAUCAGCUUGUUGGUGGGGUGAUGGCCUACCAAGGCGGUGACGGGUAGCCGGCCUGAGAGGGUGACCGGUGACAUUGGGAGUGAGAUACGGCAGAGACGCCUACGAGAGGGAGAGGUGGGGGAUAGUGCACAAUGAGCGAGAGUCUGAGGCAGCGACGCCGCGUGGGGGAUGAAGGCGUUCGGGUUGUAAAACUCUUUCGCUUGCGAAAGGGUAGGUGGAGACGAAGCGCCGGCUAGCUACGUGCCAGCAGCCGCGGUAAUAC